UUGGAGGGCAAGUCUGGUGCCAGCAGCCGCGGUAAUUCCAGCUCCAAUAGCGUAUAUUAAAGUUGUUGCAGUUAAAAAGCUCGUAGUUGAAUUUCGGGAUCAAAUUGUCGGUCGUGCCUCGGUACGCACUGGUAUUAUUGGUUCCUACCUUCUGAAGAACCGCGAUGUCAUUAAUUUGGUGUCGUGGGGAAUCAGGACUGUUACUUUGAAAAAAUUAGAGUGUUUAAAGCAGGCUUACGCUUGAAUACAUUAGCAUGGAAUAAUGAAAUAGGACGUUCGAUUCUAUUUUGUUGGUUUCUAGGAUUGACGUAAUGAUUAAUAGGGAUAGUUGGGGGCAUUAGUAUUCAAUUGUCAGAGGUGAAAUUCUUGGAUUUAUUGAAGACUAACUACUGCGAAAGCAUUUGCCAAGGAUGUUUUCAUUAAUCAAGAACGAAAGUUAGGGGAUCGAAGACGAUCAGAUACCGUCGUAGUCUUAACCAUAAACUAUGCCGACUAGGGAUCGGAUGAUGUUAAUUUUUUAAUGACUCAUUCGGCGCCUUACGGGAAAC
This 548-nucleotide ribosomal RNA is filed under the name uncultured Glomeromycotina. RNAcentral's name for it is "SSU rRNA". It matches the Rfam family "Eukaryotic small subunit ribosomal RNA", at positions 548 to 1098 of the family's 1831-position model. Lineage: Eukaryota; Fungi; Glomeromycota. The record is from RNAcentral.